Molecule: non-coding RNA, 746 nt
Organism: Arachis ipaensis
Lineage: Eukaryota; Viridiplantae; Streptophyta; Magnoliopsida; Fabales; Fabaceae
Source: RefSeq, a predicted model, not a curated record
AUAUAUUUAAUUUUUUAAAAAGUGUUAUCUUUUCCUAAUUACUUAUUCACAUUUACAGAACAAGCAAAACUCACUGCUCACAAAAUCAAAAUCUCGGACUCUUCAGAUCCAAAUCUCGCUCACUGUUCAAUCUAAUCACUUAUUCCUUCGUGCGUUUGCUUCGAGCUUGAUUUCACUGAAUUUCAAUCUCAAUCUGGCUCUUGUUCGAUCUGCUCUCGAUCUUGCUUUGGCUUGAUCUCAAUUCUCGAUAUCUCUCUGUUGUUGUCGCCGUCGUCCUGUAGGUAGGUCAUCCUUCGAUCCUCAAUGUGUUAAUUUAUGUUACGAAUGCGUGGCCAACCCCUAAUUUAGCGCUUUUUAAUUCUGGAAUAUGUUAAUAUAUGCAUUGAUUUUUAUUAUAAAUUAUGAUUACUGUAGUUGAUUUUCAAGAAAUUAAAUUCCCUAUGUUUAGCACUAUGGAAUUCAGACAAAUUUUAGUCUAAGACUUCUGAUCUCUCCGUUUUUCAUUCCUCAAUUCUUUCAAGGGCUUCGAUUCACUUUUUUUGGGGAGAUUUUCAAGGGCUUCUUACUCUGAAACUAUUGGAAGAUGUGGUUUCGAUUCUUCGAAUAAAGUUCAAGGAAUUGUUUCUUCGAAUAAAUUAAUUUAUGCAUUAACAUUUGGGGAUCUUUGACGAGCCUUGCAGGAGGUACAAAGAGCUGCAAAAGCUACUUCUAAAGGUGGUUGUAGUCAUUGACAAUUUUGUUGACAA